AACGAACGCUGGCGGCGCGCCUAACACAUGCAAGUCGUACGUGAAAGGGGGCAACCCUGAGUAAAGUGGCGCACGGGUGAGUAAUACGUAAGUCAUCUACCUUUGUGACCGGAAUAACCAGUCGAAAGACUGGCUAAUACUGGAUAGUGCGCAUAGUUUGUAAGGAAUUAUGCGGGAAAGGGUGGCAGACUUCGGUCUGCUAUCGUGCAAAGAUGAGCUUGCGUCCCAUUAGCUAGUUGGUAAGGUAAUGGCUUACCAAGGCGAUGAUGGGUAGCUGGUCUGAGAGGACGAUCAGCCACACUGGAACUGAAACACGGUCCAGACUCCUACGGGAGGCAGCAGUGGGGAAUUUUGCACAAUGGGCGAAAGCCUGAUGCAGCGACGCCGCGUGGGUGAAGAAGGCCU
This 405-nucleotide ribosomal RNA is filed under the name uncultured bacterium. RNAcentral describes it as "bacterial SSU rRNA". It matches the Rfam family "Bacterial small subunit ribosomal RNA", at positions 29 to 417 of the family's 1533-position model. The record is from RNAcentral.